Molecule: ribosomal RNA, 406 nt
Filed under: uncultured bacterium
Lineage: Bacteria
Description: partial 16S ribosomal RNA
Rfam family: Bacterial small subunit ribosomal RNA
Source: RNAcentral
AUUGAACGCUGGCGGCAGGCCUAACACAUGCAAGUCGAACGAGUGGCGGACGGGUGAGUAAUGUCUGGGAAACUGCCUGAUGGAGGGGGAUAACUACUGGAAACGGUAGCUAAUACCGCAUACCCUCGGAUGUGCCCAGAUGGGAUUAGCUAGUAGGUGGGGUAAAGGCUCACCUGGGCGACGAUCCCUAGCUGGUCUGAGAGGAGGACCAGCAAAACUGGAACGGAGAAACGGUCCAGACUCCUACGGGGGGCAGCAGUGGGGAAUAUUGGACAAUGGGGGCAAGCCUGAUGCAGCCAUGCCGCGUGUAUGAAGAAGGCCUUCGGGUUGUAAAGUACUUUAAGCGGGGAGGCGUUACCCGCAGAAGAAGCACCGGCUAACUCCGUGCCAGCCGCCGCGGUAAUAC